GUGCCAGCAGCCGCCGCGGUAAUACGUAGGGUGCAAGCGUUAAUCGGAAUUACUGGGCGUAACGCGUGCGCAGGCGGUUAUGCAAGACAGAUGUGAAAUCCCCGGGCUCAACCUGGGAACUGCAUUUGUGACUGCAUGGCUAGAGUACGGUAGAGGGGGAUGGAAUUCCGCGUGUAGCAGUGAAAUGCGUAGAUAUGCGGAGGAACACCGAUGGCGAAGGCAAUCCCCUGGACCUGUACUGACGCUCAUGCACGAAAGCGUGGGGAGCAAACAGGAUUAGAUACCCUGGUAGUCCACGCCC
RNAcentral lists this ribosomal RNA (301 nucleotides) under uncultured bacterium. RNAcentral's name for it is "bacterial SSU rRNA". It matches the Rfam family "Bacterial small subunit ribosomal RNA", at positions 505 to 802 of the family's 1533-position model. The record is from RNAcentral.